AGCAGCCGCGGUAAUUCCAGCUCCAAUAGCGUAUAUUAAAGUUGUUGCAGUUAAAAAGCUCGUAGUUGAAUUUCGAGACCGGCUUACUGGUCGUGCUAUUGUGCGUACUGGUAUAAUCGGUUUCUCCUUUCUGACGAACUAUAAUGCCAUUAAUUUGGUGUUAUAGGGAAUCAGGACUGUUACUUUGAAAAAUUAAAGUGUUUAAAGCAGGCUCGCGCUUGAAUACAUUAGCAUGGAAUAAUGAAAUAGGACGUUUGACCCUAUUUUGUUGGUUUCUAGGAUCGACGUAAUGAUUAAUAGGGAUAGUUGGGGGCAUUAGUAUUCAAUUGUCAGAGGUGAAAUUCUUGGAUUUAUUGAAGACUAACUACUGCGAAAGCAUUUGCCAAGGAUGUUUUCAUUAAUCAAGAACGAGAGUUAGGGGAUCGAAGACGAUCAGAUACCGUCGUAGUCUUAACCAUAAACUAUGCCGACUAGGGAUCGGAUGAUGUUAUUUUUAAUGACUCAUUCGGCGCCUUACGGG
RNAcentral lists this unclassified non-coding RNA (520 nucleotides) under uncultured Glomus. Its description in RNAcentral is "SSU rRNA". It matches the Rfam family "Eukaryotic small subunit ribosomal RNA", at positions 569 to 1094 of the family's 1831-position model. Lineage: Eukaryota; Fungi; Glomeromycota; Glomeromycetes; Glomerales; Glomeraceae. The record is from RNAcentral.